This 468-nucleotide ribosomal RNA is filed under the name uncultured bacterium. RNAcentral's name for it is "partial 16S ribosomal RNA". It matches the Rfam family "Bacterial small subunit ribosomal RNA", at positions 28 to 507 of the family's 1533-position model. The record is from RNAcentral.
GACGAACGCUGGCGGCGUGCUUAACACAUGCAAGUCGAACGGAAAGGCCCUGCUUUUGUGGGGUGCUCGAGUGGCGAACGGGUGAGUAACACGUGAGUAACCUGCCCUUGACUUUGGGAUAACUUCAGGAAACUGGGGCUAAUACCGGAUAGGAGCUCCUGCUGCAUGGUGGGGGUUGGAAAGUUUCGGCGGUUGGGGAUGGACUCGCGGCUUAUCAGCUUGUUGGUGGGGUAGUGGCUUACCAAGGCUUUGACGGGUAGCCGGCCUGAGAGGGUGACCGGCCACAUUGGGACUGAGAUACGGCCCAGACUCCUACGGGAGGCAGCAGUGGGGAAUAUUGCACAAUGGGCGGAAGCCUGGUGCAGCAACGCCGCGUGCGGGAUGACGGCCUUCGGGUUGUAAACCGCUUUCGCCUGUGACGAAGCGUGGGUGACGGUAAUGGGUAAAGAAGCACCGGCUAACUACGUG